Molecule: ribosomal RNA, 403 nt
Filed under: uncultured bacterium
Lineage: Bacteria
Description: bacterial SSU rRNA
Rfam family: Bacterial small subunit ribosomal RNA
Source: RNAcentral
UGGGGGAUAUUGCACAAUGGGGGAAACCCUGAUGCAGCGAUGCCGCGUGGAGGAAGAAGGUUUUCGGAUUGUAAACUCCUGUCGUAAGGGAAGAGGAAGGACUGUACCUUACAAGAAAGCUCCGGCUAACUACGUGCCAGCAGCCGCGGUAAUACGUAGGGAGCGAGCGUUGUCCGGAAUGACUGGGUGUAAAGGGAGCGUAGGCGGGAUGGCAAGUCAGAUGUGAAACCUGAGGGCUCAACCUUCAGACUGCAUUUGAAACUGCUGUUCUUGAGUGAAGUAGAGGUAAGCGGAAUUCCUGGUGUAGCGGUGAAAUGCGUAGAGAUCAGGAGGAACAUCGGUGGCGAAGGCGGCUUACUGGGCUUUUACUGACGCUGAGGCUCGAAAGCGUGGGGAGCAAACA